UACUGGUUGAACUGUCAGGUUGUUGACAUGGAUAUUACUUGCUUCACAGACAGAGCCGGAAACACAAGUGACUACCGAAAUUGGUCUAAUGAUUCAAGCUCAUACGAGAGUACCGACUGCGUGGAUGUGAACAUUUGGAGUGGCUAUUGGUUCACAUAUAGCUGUUCGUAUCCGUACGAUUUAACCGCUUGUCAAGUGAAUGUAUUUGCCUAAAUAAAUACACCGACAUAAAAUGCACUAAAUACCCUUCUUUAGCAUGUUUAGUAGAAGAGAGUGAAAA
Long non-coding RNA from Lytechinus variegatus (green sea urchin), 280 nucleotides. RefSeq lists it as uncharacterized. The transcript has 2 exons. The record is from RefSeq and is a predicted model, not a curated record. Lineage: Eukaryota; Metazoa; Echinodermata; Echinoidea; Temnopleuroida; Toxopneustidae.